RNAcentral lists this ribosomal RNA (492 nucleotides) under uncultured bacterium. RNAcentral describes it as "partial 16S ribosomal RNA". It matches the Rfam family "Bacterial small subunit ribosomal RNA", at positions 29 to 507 of the family's 1533-position model. The record is from RNAcentral.
AGUGAGCGCUGGCGGUAGGCCUAACACAUGCAAGUCGAACGGCAGCACAGUAAGAGCUUGCUCUUACGGGUGGCGAGUGGCGGACGGGUGAGGAAUACAUCGGAAUCUACCUUUUCGUGGGGGAUAACGUAGGGAAACUUACGCUAAUACCGCAUACGACCUACGGGUGAAAGCAGGGGAUCUUCGGACCUUGCGCGAUUGAAUGAGCCGAUGUCGGAUUAGCUAGUUGGCGGGGUAAAGGCCCACCAAGGCGACGAUCCGUAGCUGGUCUGAGAGGAUGAUCAGCCACACUGGAACUGAGACACGGUCCAGACUCCUACGGGAGGCAGCAGUGGGGAAUAUUGGACAAUGGGCGCAAGCCUGGUCCAGCCAUACCGCGUGGGUGAAGAAGGCCUUCGGGUUGUAAAGCCCUUUUGUUGGGAAAGAAAAGCAGCAGGUUAAUACCCCGCUGUUCUGACGGUACCCAAAGAAUAAGCACCGGCUAACUUCGUG